CCUACGGGAGGCAGCAGUGAGGAAUAUUGGUCAAUGGACGAGAGUCUGAACCAGCCAAGUAGCGUGAAGGAUGACUGCCCUAUGGGUUGUAAACUUCUUUUAUAUGGGAAUAAAACGUUCCACGUGUGGGAUUUUGUAUGUACCAUAUGAAUAAGGAUCGGCUAACUCCGUGCCAGCAGCCGCGGUAAUACGGAGGAUCCGAGCGUUAUCCGGAUUUAUUGGGUUUAAAGGGGGCGUAGGUGGAUUGUUAAGUCAGUUGUGAAAGUUUGCGGCUCAACCGUAAAAUUGCAGUUGAAACUGGCAGUCUUGAGUACAGUAGAGGUGGGCGGAAUUCGUGGUGUAGCGGUGAAAUGCUUAGAUAUCACGAAGAACUCCGAUUGCGAAGGCAGUUCACUGGACUGCAACUGACACUGAGGCUCGAAAGUGUGGGUAUCAAACAGGAUUAGAUACCCCUGUAGUC
This 460-nucleotide ribosomal RNA is filed under the name uncultured bacterium. RNAcentral's name for it is "partial 16S ribosomal RNA". It matches the Rfam family "Bacterial small subunit ribosomal RNA", at positions 338 to 795 of the family's 1533-position model. The record is from RNAcentral.